RNAcentral lists this ribosomal RNA (119 nucleotides) under Pteropus alecto (black flying fox). The record is from RNAcentral. Lineage: Eukaryota; Metazoa; Chordata; Mammalia; Chiroptera; Pteropodidae.
GUCUACGGCCAUGCCACCCUGAACAAGUCUGAUCCCGUCUGAUCUCAGAAGCUAAGCAGGGUCGAGCCUGGUUAGUACUUGGAUGGGAGACCACCUAGGAAGACCAGGUGUUGUAGGCA